This 391-nucleotide long non-coding RNA is filed under the name Struthio camelus australis. Its description in RNAcentral is "lncRNA (ENSSCUG00000015567.1)". Lineage: Eukaryota; Metazoa; Chordata; Aves; Struthioniformes; Struthionidae. The record is from RNAcentral.
GAACAAUCUUCUGCUGUCUGCACAAACAGAAAAAAAUCUACGUGUUUAUCUCUGCCUGAGAAGCAGUCUGCAGCAAAAUGGCUUUCACUCAUUAGGACUUACUAGUUUGGGUUUCAUGCUAUAUUGACCCACAGACACGUAGCUCCUAGCUGUCUUGGAGAGCAGACAAAUCUAUUCAUGACUUCGAGAUUUCUGGCAGGCGCAGUCCGUGAAGAUGCAUUGAGUGACAUCGUACCCCAAAAGCAGCGGCAAGGAUCAAGCGAGAGGGGCACCGAAUGGGGCCAAGUAUGCCAAAAUCCUGCUGACUGCUGCCACUGCCAUUCUUGAAGGGUAGUUUGGGGUCUGUGAUGGUAGCCCGGAAGAGAAUGGGGCUGGGCUGGGAUGUUCUGUG